UGAUAUAGAGCGUUAAGUCACGACCAUUCGGACAUUGGCCAUCGUUUAUUUAUGCGCGGAUGCUCGCGAAACAUCGAGCAGGUGAUCGACGUCGUGAUAUUGUCAGUUCCUUUCGCAGUUCGAUCGAUCUUCUUCCAAGUUUAGUUCUCUAUUCUCGAAGUUCGAAGGAAUUUCCUCGAAUUGUCGCGUAGCUCAAUAGAUAUCGAUCUUUUGAUAUAUCGAACAAAUCAUUAUGGUGGACGUUGACAUAAAACUCUCGAGAAGCAACAAGAGCCAAGCCUGGGGCUUUCGAUUAUCCGGAGGAGCUGACUUUGCUUUUCCGUUGACUGUCGUCAGGGUAACGUAUCGCACGUAUACAUAAAAAUUAACAUUCAUUCGAAUCGUGACACGCAUACAAAAUUUGCUUAAUUUCCAUUAAUAUCUCGUAUUAUCGUACGAUUAUAAAAUCUAAUACAUCAUUCUCUUGAACUCGAACCGCGGAUCACGCGAUUAUUAAGCGUAAUAGUACGCAUUUGAUGCGUAUUUAGAAUAAAUUUUCGCGUGAAAUAUUCAGAUUUCGUGCUUUAGAGAUUUUUAUCGACACCACGAUUCGUAUCGAAUCGCGUAACCUCGUUUUCCCUCGGCCUGAAUCCUGUGCUCGGUCCAAGGGAAUAUCGUUCUCAGAAAAGGAAAGGAAUCAUUAAUCGAAUCAUAGAUGAGAAAAAUACUCGCGUAUUCCUUGAGAAUAUUUGCAAAUUCUGAUCGACGAUCGUUUUAUCGUUUGUCUGGAUUAUUUCUUUUCCCGCACUUUUUUUUUUGUUACAUACUGAUUUCGAAUAAGGAUUAAUUUUCUUUCUAUCGAACGUGAAUCUUGUAAAUUAUAAUAAUUAUUAUGGAAAUUUUUAGUUUAGUUUUCAAUUCUAGAUAAUUAUUUUGAUAUAAAAAAUAAUAAUAAUCAUGUUUACGUAAAAUGGCCAUUGCUAUUUAUUUGAUUAAAAUGUACUUUCUUCUUUACAAGGUACUCCUCGGAGGAUUAGCCGAUAAGGCGGGUUUACAAGCUGGCGAUAUAGUGGUCAAAAUAAACGGGGAAACUGUGCAGCAUUUGAGGCACGUCGAGGUUCAUGAUCGCUUUGUCAAAGCUGGAAACGAAAUUACGCUGUCUGUCCUGCGAAAUUUAAAAUUCGAACGAAAAGUUUAACGAAAAUGGUUAUUGACACGUGUCUUGCUAUAAGAUAUCGAGCGAACGAUACGAUCCUAUCGAAAGAAUUAUUUUAACGUUGAAUAAAAUAAUGUACCUUUUUUUCCAAAUAUUUCCUCCAUCUUGAAUUAAGUUAGUCGUUAAUAUAUACCUAUAUAUCUUAUAAUUGGAAACUAUAAUAUAAAUAUUAUCGUUUGUUGGCCGAUCUUCAUGAUGCUUCUGGCAUCGGUAAUCAAGGUCUGUUAAAACAGGAUUGCAACAUCAUGUUAUCGUUACGUGUCACCGAUUGACCCACAUUGUAAAAUACAAUUUGUCAACUAUUGAUCCGGCCUCGUCUACGAUCUUAUCUUUUAUAACAAUGAGUCAUCAAUUUGUUGAAAUGACAUUUUUAAAUAUAAAUUUAACUAAUCGCUAUGUUUUAAUGAUAAAUCGAGAUCCGAAAAUUAUUUUGUAGACUUGUAUCAAUGGACGAGAUAUAAGAGAGUAAAUUAAAUGGAAUUUUAUCCCA
This is a long non-coding RNA of Apis cerana (Asiatic honeybee), 1685 nucleotides long. RefSeq lists it as uncharacterized. NCBI's taxonomy places the organism in Eukaryota, Metazoa, Arthropoda, Insecta, Hymenoptera, Apidae. The record is from RefSeq and is a predicted model, not a curated record.